This 2265-nucleotide ribosomal RNA is filed under the name human gut metagenome. Its description in RNAcentral is "bacterial LSU rRNA". It matches the Rfam family "Bacterial large subunit ribosomal RNA", at positions 14 to 2317 of the family's 2925-position model. The record is from RNAcentral.
AGAGCACAGGGUGGAUGCCUAGGCACUGAGAGCCGAUGAAGGACGUGAUAAGCUGCGAAAAGCCACGGGGAGGAGCAAAUAUCCUUUGAGCCGUGGAUAUCCGAAUGGGGGAACCCACUUAAGUAAACCUUAAGUACUGACAAGCCAAUACAUAACUUGCCAGAGGGAACCCGGGGAACUGAAACAUCUAAGUACCCGGAGGAAGAGAAAGAAACAUCGAUUUCCUUAGUAGCGGCGAGCGAAAGGGAAAGAGCCCAAACCGAGAGAUUUAUCUUUCGGGGUUAGGACUGCAUAAUUGAUCUGCGAUUGAUAGGAGAAUGGUCUGGGAAGUCCAGCAGGAAAGCGUGAAAGCCGCGUAUCCGAAAUUGAAAGCAGCAAGGCAGUAUCCAGAGUACCACGAGACACGAGGAACCUUGUGGGAAUGAGCGGAGACCACUCCGUAAGGCUAAAUACUACUCAGUGACCGAUAGCGCAUAGUACUGUGAAGGAAAGGUGAAAAGGACCCCGGGAGGGGAGUGAAAGAGAACCUGAAACCCUGUGUUUACAAGCUGUCGGAGCACGUUAGUGCGACGGCGUACUUUUUGUAGAACGGUCCGGCGAGUUAUGAUACGCGGUAAGGUUAAGGACUUAAGGUCCGGAGCCGAAGCGAAAGCGAGUGUUAAGAGCACGAGGAAUCACGUAUCAUAGACCCGAAACCGGGUGAUCUAUCCAUGUCCAGGAUGAAGCUGCCGUAAGAGGUAGUGGAGGUCCGAACACACAUCCGUUGAAAAGGGUGGUGAUGAGGUGUGGAUAGGGGAGAAAUUCCAAUCGAACCCGGAGAUAGCUGGUUCUCCUCGAAAUAGCUUUAGGGCUAGCCUCGUAUUAGUCUGGUGGAGGUAGAGCACUGAAUUUCCUAGGGGGCGUCAAAGCCUACCGAAGAAUAUCAAACUCCGAAUGCCAUACAGAUGAUGUACGGGAGUCAGACGGCACGAGAUAAGUUGGGUCGUCAAAAGGGAAAGAGCCCAGACCUGCAGCUAAGGUCCCAAAGUGUGUGUUAAGUGGAAAAGGAUGUGGGAUUUCGAAGACAACUAGGAUGUUGGCUCAGAAGCAGCCAUUCAUUCAAAGAGUGCGUAAUAGCUCACUAGUCGAGAGGUCCUGCGCCGAAAAUGUCCGGGGCUAAAACACACUGCCGAAGCUUUGGAAUUGAGAAUUCAAUUGGUAGAGGAGCAUUCUUAAAGGGACGAAGCAGUACCGUAAGGAGCUGUGGACUUUUAAGAAGAGAGAAUGCCGGAAUGAGUAGCGAGAGGAAGGUGGGAAUCCUUCCGGCCGAAUAUCUAAGGUUUCCAGAGUAAAGCUGAUCUGCUCUGGGUAAGUCGGGGCCUAAGGCGAGGUCGAAAGACGUAGUCGAUGGAUAACAGGUUGAAAUUCCUGUACUAUCCUGUAACAGAACUGUGGGGACACAGGCAGAGAGCGUGAGCCGGGAAUGGAAAGACCGGUACAAGCGAGGUAGGAGUCUGGUUGGCAAAUCCGCCAGGCAAUCUGAAGACGUGAUGUGGACUGAAAAUAAGUAGGGAAGCACGUGAGCUGACUGUCAAGAAAAGCCGCUAUUGUUUGCAGGAUACCCGUACCGUAAACCGACACAGGUGGAUGAGGAGAGAAUCCUAAGGCCGACGGGAGAAGCAUUGUUAAGGAACUCGGCAAAAUGACUCCGUAACUUCGGGAGAAGGAGUGCCAUGUAAAAGUGGCCGCAGAGAAUUGGCCCAAGCAACUGUUUAGCAAAAACACAGGUCUAUGCAAAACCGAAAGGUGAGGUAUAUGGGCUGACGCCUGCCCGGUGCUGGAAGGUUAAGGGGAGAGGUUAGCGCAAGCGAAGCUUUGAACUUAAGCCCCAGUAAACGGCGGCCGUAACUAUAACGGUCCUAAGGUAGCGAAAUUCCUUGUCGGGUAAGUUCCGACCCGCACGAAAGGCGUAAUGAUUUGGGCACUGUCUCAACAAUGCACCCGGUGAAAUUGAAAUACCAGUGAAGAUGCUGGUUACCUGCGCCAGGACGGAAAGACCCCAUGGAGCUUUACUCCAGCUUGAUACUGGGAUUCGGUAUUGCAUGUACAGGAUAGGUGGGAGGCUAAGAAGUGGUAACGCCAGUUGCCAUGGAGCCGCUGUUGGGAUACCACCCUUGCAGUACUGGGUUUCUAACCAGCAGCCGUGAUCCGGCUGGGGGACAAUGUCAGGUGGGGAGUUUGACUGGGGCGGUCGCCUCCGAAAGGGUAUCGGAGGCGCUCAAAGGU